This 403-nucleotide unclassified non-coding RNA is filed under the name soil metagenome. Its description in RNAcentral is "partial contains 5.8S ribosomal RNA, internal transcribed spacer 2, and large subunit ribosomal RNA". The stretch from base 1 to 122 matches the Rfam family "5.8S ribosomal RNA", at positions 35 to 154 of the family's 154-position model. The record is from RNAcentral.
GAUGAAGAACGUAGCAAAAUGCGAUACUUGGUGUGAAUUGCAGAAUCCCGUGAACCAUCGAGUUUUUGAACGCAAGUUGCGCCCGAAGCCUUUUGGCCGAGGGCACGUCUGCCUGGGCGUCACGCAUCGCGUCGCCCCCCACAAUUCUCCGUAAAGGGAACGUGUGUUUUGGGGGCGGAUAUUGGUCUCCCGUGCUCAUGGCGUGGUUGGCCGAAAUAGGAGUCCUUUCGAUGGACGCACGAACUAGUGGUGGUCGUAAAAACCCUCGUCUUUUGUUUCGUGCUGUUGCUCGCAAGGUAAACUCUUUAAAAACCCAAUGUGUCGUCUCUUGACGACGCUUCGACCGCGACCCCAGGUCAGGCGGGACUACCCGCUGAGUUUAAGCAUAUCAAUAAGCGGAGGA